AUCACGGAGAGUUUGAUCGUGGCUCAGGAUGAACGCUGGCGGCGUGCCUAAUACAUGCAAGUCGAGCGAUGAGGCUCCUUCGGGGGCCAUCAGCGGCGAACGGGUGAGUAACACGUGGGCGACCUGCCCCGAAGAUGGGAAUAACCUUUGGAAACGAGGGCUAAUACCCAAUGGUCUCGGUAGUUCGUUCUAUCGAGUAAAGCUCCGGCGCUUCGGGAGGGGCCUGCGGCCCAUCAGCUAGUUGGUAGGGUAACGGCUUACCAAGGCGAUGACGGGUAGGGGGCGUGAGAGCGUGAUCCCCCACACUGGCACUGAGAUACGGGCCAGACUCCUACGGGAGGCAGCAGUAAGGAAUAUUGCGCAAUGAGCGAAAGCUAGACGCAGCGACGCCGCGUGGGCGAUGAAGGCCUUCGGGUUGUAAAGCCCUUUUAUGGGGGAAGAGGAAGGACGGUACCCCAGGAAUAAGUCCCGGCUAACUACGUGCCAGCAGCCGCGGUAAAACGUAGGGGACAAGCGUUAUCCGGAUUCACUGGGCGUAAAGAGCGUUGAGGCGGUUCUGUAAGUUGGACGUGAAAGCCCUGGGCUUAACUCGGGGAGGUCGUUCAAUACUGCAGGACUUGAGGGCAGCAGGGGGAGGUAGAAUUUCCGGUGUAGUGGUGAAAUGCGUAGAUAUCGGAAGGAAUACCCGUGGCGAAGGCGGCCUCCUGGGCUGCCCCUGACGCUGAAGGCGAAAGCUAGGGUAGCAAACGGGAUUAGAUACCCCGGUAGUCCUAGCUGUAAACGAUGGAUGCUGGGUGUGGGGGGUGUAAAUUCCCUC
RNAcentral lists this ribosomal RNA (817 nucleotides) under Anaerolineae bacterium. RNAcentral describes it as "bacterial SSU rRNA". It matches the Rfam family "Bacterial small subunit ribosomal RNA", at positions 1 to 841 of the family's 1533-position model. Lineage: Bacteria; Bacillati; Chloroflexota; Anaerolineae. The record is from RNAcentral.